AACAUCAGUUCAAAUGCUUCUUGGCCAUUUAUAUCUGCCCUUGGCAAAUUAUAUUUAAUGACCUUCAACCAUUUUCUAUUGGGAUAGUAAUCCUUUUGUUGUUGACUGAAAGAGCUCUCUCUAGUCCAUAAUUUAUUUGACCAUUCACCUAUUGAUGUUGUUUUCCAUAUUUUAGUAUUAUAAAUAAUAUAGUAUGAACAUUUUCAUAAGUAGCUUUUUUUACAUAUCACAUAUGAUUUCCAUUGAAUAGGUCAAAAUUAGAAUAGCAAAGAUUAAAAUACUUGAACACAUAUUGCCACAAUGCUUUCCAUAAAAGCCACACCAAUUUACACUCCCACUAUCAAAUUAUGGGUUAGCCUACCUCAUAGCAAUCCAUUUCACAUCCAAUCAGAGUUGGAUUGGAUUGCAACAGAAUGCAGAUAAAGACAUAAAAGAACAUGGCAUGUAAGUCACAGAGGAUUUUGACAGUCAAUCCUACAGGAUCUCUAGGAGACUGGCUAGAAGAGGAGGAUCUGAACAUUUUGGUAGAACUGAAAUGCAGAGGCACGCAAUAUUCACCUCCUUUAAAACCUGGCCCAAACCUAGCACCUUCAGUGCUGAUUAAAAAAUAUGACUGCUGCUAAUUAAAGAUUAAAAACCCGAUUAACACACCCAACUUCCUACCCUCCUGUAUUCCACCAAGGAAGUCUAACCACGUAUUGCGCAAAUACCUGAUCUCUUAGAAAUGCUAAAUCCCUGUAAAUCCAAAAAAACAAGAACACAGCUAUUUCCUGGCAAUAAUGUGACAGUAAUGACUCCUGAAACCAGGCAGGGAUAACAGGAAAUAGUACUUGCCCUGCGUGUUUCAGACAAAAGCUUAAGCCAGUGAAAACAUGCAAAUUUUACUCAUUCAGUAAAUAAACAAAAAACCUGGCAACACCAAACUUAAACCAAUGGUCUUUCAAUAACCCAAAGUAGGCAGGUUCUCGGUUCUGGGUGCUUUUCCCAGUGAACAAGUCACAUAAUUUGUCAAAAAUUACAGCAUGUGGGGGAAUGGCAGCAGCAGCAAGAAUGCAAACAUGCCAGCAAUGCCUAUGCAGAGAGCUGAUAAGCAAUGUCUAAUUAAUGGUUCUGAAGUACUUCCCAGGUAGAAACCCAAUAGCAAUAUUAAAUAAUAUCAUCAUCCAGUUAAGGCAACUAAGAAUUAUCAGCCUGUUUUUCUUCUUUCAAACACAGGUUACUGAACAAAAACAAUCAUAACAAGCAAAGCUACACCAGUAACAUAUGCUUUAAGUUAUGUGUAUUUAUUUAUGUCAACUAUAAUUUGUAUCUAACUUAAAAGUUCAGUUAUAUGUUUUCCUAUUAUGAUUCUGCUAAUUUUGGUUGUUCUUCCCAACUGUUACUGGUCAUGAUCAUAUUAUAAUCAACAUUUCCUAACCAAUAGCAUCAACCUUGCUACAUGAUACUCUACAACAUGAAAGUUUCUUGCACAUGGUGUUAUAUUUGUCAUUUGCUUUUAGCAGGAACAUUUCAGAGUCUGAUUAUUAAGGGUACAGCUCCAUUGUGUCUCUACACAUUCAGUUACUACUAUUUAUUCUCCUCUUAAGAAAUCUUACUCUUUCCAGGGAUUUUGACAAUUGUGAUGACUUUUAAACCAUUUUACUGACUCAAAGCUCUUUUCUAUGCUCCACGUAUGUGCUUCGAAUUGCUAAUUGGUCACUUCCACCUAAUGACCCACAGAGAGCUCAGCCUCACAUACCCAAAACACAGCUCUCAAGAUUCCUUCAUUCCUAUUAAAACCCACUUCAUUUUUCUUUUAGUAAUAAUAUCACCAGGCUGAUUCACUGAAACUCUUAUGGUAAGCUAGCCUCUUUUGCUUUUCUCUCUUCCCUCCUUCCACUUCCACAUCCAUCUCUGCUGAUCAAGCUUUUAGAAUAUCUGCUCUGUCACCCCUUCUCCAUACCUAUGACAUUGGUUUGGGUCCUCUUCAAUUGCUGGUGAGUCUAUCGCCAUAGCUUACUGCUCUCCCCAGGAUCUCUUCUACUCACGCCUUGACAGAGCUGCCAACAGGCUGUUUCAGAAAUGAUAAGACCACAACACUGUUCCUAAAGCUCUUGCUGACUUUCUGCAGCCAACAAUAUAAAACUGUUCAUGGGCAAAGGUAUGCUUAUAAACGUAGGAGAAUAGAGCAUAUUUAAGACUGUGUUUGCCUGAUCCAUAAUGUUAAAAUAUUUGACUUGUGGCAUAUGGGCCUCUAUUUGCACUCUUGCAUCAUGCUCAAAAACAGGUAAGGUGGACCUGAUGCUGAGGUGACUAAUUACUCUGGUUCUCUCCUUAACAUUUUUUAAAGGAACAGAUUUAUUGAGGUAUAAUUCAUAUACAAUCAUUUUUUUCAAAGAGCACAUUUUAAUAGUUUUUAGUAUAUUCACAAAGAUGUGGAACUAUCACCAAUAUCUAAUUCCAGAAUAUUUUAUUAUCCCCCAAAAAGAAACACUUUGCCAAUUACCAAUCAUUCCCUCAAUAUCCCUUUUUGCUACCCCUAACAACAAUGAAUCUAUGACUCUAUAGAUUUGCCUAUUCUGGAAAUAGGCCUAUUUUCACAUAAAUGAAAUCAUACAGUACAUGGCUUUUUGCUUCUGUAUUCUUUAAUUUAGCAUGUUUUCAAGCUUCAUCCAUUUUGUAGUAUGCAUCAAUACUUAAUUCAUUUAUAUGGCUUGGUAAUAUUCUACUAUAUGAAUAUACAUUUUUUAACCUAUCAGCUGACAGACAUCUGGGUUCUUUCUGCUUUUUGGUAAUUAUGGUUAAUGUUGAUAAGAAUAUUCACAUUCAAGAUUUUGUGUGGACACAUGCUUAAGAUUCUGUGCAUAUAUACCUAGUAAAGGAACUGCUGGAUUAUAUGGGAACUCAAUGUUUAGUUUCUUUGAGGUAUUCCCAAAUCUUUUCUAAAAUGGUUGUACCAUUUUACAUUACUACCAGCAAUGUAUGAGGUUUCUAAUUUCUCCAUAUCCUUGUUGACAUUUGUUAUUGUCCCUCUUUUUUUAUAUAGCCAUCCUAGUAGAUGCCAAGUGAUACCUCAUUUGGUUUUGUGUUUACCCUUAUCACUAAUGAUGUACAUAUUUUCAUGUGUUUAUUAGACAUUUAUCUUCUUAGGAGAAAUGACUGAGUUCUUUGCCUAUUUUUAAAAUGAGUUUUUUUUCUUCUUAUGAGUGAGUAGUAGUAGAUCUUUGCACAUUUUGGUUGAAUAAUAUUCCAUUGUAUCAUCUACAAGUUCCUUCUCAGAUGUAUGAUUUGCAAAUAUGUUCGUACAUUAUAAGUUGUCUUUUUACUUCCUUGAUGGUGUCCUUUGAAGCAUGAAGGCUUUUAAUUUGUGUAAAACCCCAUUUACCUUUUUUUCCUCUUGUCACUUUUACUUUUGGUGUCUUAUCCGAGAAAAUUACCUAAUUCAAAAUCUUGAUUUACUCCUAUUUUUCUUCUAAGAGUUUUAGAGUUUUAGUUCUUACAUUUAGUUCUGUGAUCCAUUUUGAGUUAAUUUUUGUAUAAGGUGUGAGUUAGGGAUCCAACUUGAUUCCUUCAUAUGUGGAUAUCCAUCUUUCACAGCACCAUCCUUCUUCUCCACUGAAUUGCUUUGGCACCCUUGUCAAAAUCAAAUGACCAUAAAUGUAAGGGUCUAUUUCUAGACUCUUAAUUCUAUUCCACAAUUCUAUAUGUCUAGGCUUCUGCUAAUAACACUAUUUUUAUUACAGUUACUUUGUAGUAAGUUUUGAAAACAAGAACUCUAAGCUACAACUUUGCUCUUCUUUUUCAAGGUUAUUUUGACCAUUCUGGGUCACUUACACUUCUACAUAAAUCUUAGUAUCAUCUUGUCGGUUUCCUAGAAAAAAAGCAGCUUGAAUUUUGAUAAAGACUAUGUAGAAUCUAUAGAUCAAUUUGGGCAACUAUUGCCAACUUAACAAUAUUAAAUCUUCUAAUAUAUGUGCAUAGGGUAUCUUUCCAUUUAUUUAGAUCUUCUUUAAUUUCGUUCAGCAAUACUUAGUAGUUUUCAGUGUAUAGAUUUUGCACUUCUUUUAACUUUCUUCCUAAAUAUUUUAUUCUUUUUAAUGUUGUUACAAAUUUCAUUGUUUCUCUUCAUUUAAUUUUUAAAUUGUUCUUGCUAUGUAUACCCAAAAGUUGAUUUUUGUAUAUUGAUCUUGUACCCUGUAACUUUGCUGAAUUCAUUUGUUAGGUCUUUUUUUUUUUUACAAUGGAUUCCUUAGGAUUCACUAUGCAAAAAAUCAUGUCACCAGCAAAUAAAGAUAGGUUUAUUUAUUUGUUCCAGUCUGGGUGCCUUUUAUUUCUUUUUCUUGCCUAAUUGCUGUGACUAAAACUACAGUAUAAUGUCAAAUAGAAGUGGUAAGAGAAAACAUCUUGUCAUUUUGCCUGAUUUUAGGGGGAAAGAUCUAUCACUGUCAAGUGUAAUGUUAGCUCUAGGAUUUUUGAAAAUGCUUUUUAUUAGGUUGAGGCAGUUCUAUUCUUAGUUUGUUUAGAGUUUUUAUCAUGAAAAGAUGUCAGAUAUUGCCAAGUGUUUUUUAUGCAACUAUUGAGAUGAUCACAUGGUUUUUGUCUUUUAUUCUAUUAAUAUGUAUUAUAGUACAUUUAUUUUCAUAUGCACUACCAGUCUUGCUUUCCUGGGAUAAAUCUCAUAUAAGCUUGCAUAUAAUCUUUUUUAUAUGUUGUUGGAUUUGGUUUGUUAGUGUUUUGUUGAGGAUUAUAGUGUCUACAGUCAUAAGACAUAUUGGCCUAUUUUUGUUCCUUGUUUCUUUGUCUGUUCUGGUUAUCAGGCCUUGUAGACUGAGUUGAAAAAUGUUCCCUUCUCUUAUUUUUUGGAAGAGUUUGUGAGGGAAUAAUGUUAAUUCUUUAAAUGUUUGAUAGAAUUCUCCAGGUAGCUAUCUGGCUUGGGCUUUUCUUUGUGGUAAAUUUGUUGGUUACUAAGUCAGCUUUUUUACUUGCUAAAAGUCUAUCCAGAUUUUCUGUUUGUUUUUGAGUGAGUUUCAGUAUUUUUUAUCUAAGAAUUUAUCUAUUUCAUCUAGGUUAUCUAAUGUAACAAUCUACUUGGAUUAAUAUUUGCUGUAUUUCAAUAGUAUACAAAAACUUGGCUUUUAUAUAGCUCCAUUUCCCACCUUCUCCUUUGUCCUUUUAUUAUUGUACACAUUACAUCUUUACACAUUCCAAGUUCAUCAACAUAGUUUUAAACUUACAGCUUUGUCCUUCGGGUAUCUUUUAAAUAGAUAAAGAGAGAAAAAAAAAAGGCAUUAUAAACAAAAGUACAUGUUUACUAACUUAUAUUUUACCAGUGUCUUCUAUUUCUUUGUGUGGAUUCCAGUCACUGUCUACCGAUAUUUCAUUUCAGCCUGAAAGGAUUCCUUUAGUAUUUCAUGUAGGAAUGGUUUGUUACUGAUACAUUCUAUCACUUUUGUUUAUGUUUUAAUUUCUCCUUCAUUUAUGAAAGAUAUUUUGCUGGAUAUAGAAUUCUUAGUUGACAGUCUUUUCUUUCAGUACUUUGAAUGUGUCAUCCCAUGACUUUAUGGCCUUCAUGGUUUCUGAUGGGAAAUUAGGUGUUAAUAUUAGUGAGACCCCCAAAUACGUAAUAAGGCACUUAUCUCUUGCUACUUUCAAGAUUCUCUUUUUAAUUGGGGCAAUUUGAUUGUAACAUGUCUUAGUGUGUAUUUCUUUGAGUUUAUCCUACUUGGAAUCACUGAGUUUUUUUGGAUAUGUAGAUUCAUGUUUUUCAUCAAAUAUAGGAAGGUUUUAGCCAUUAUUGCUUCAUAUUUUCUUUCUGCCCCUUUCUGUCUCACUUUUCCUUCUCAGACUCCCUUUAUGUGUAUGGCAAUACAUUUGAUGGUAUCCUACAGGUCUUUGGGUUUCUGCUAAUUUUUCUUCAUUCUUUACUUUCCGUUCUCAGAUUGAAUAAUCUCAUUUGACCUAUCUUCAAGUUUUCUGACUCUUUCUGCCUAUUCAAAUCUGCUGCUGCACCGUACUAGUGAAUUUUUCCCUUUAGUUAUUGUACUUUCCAUCUCCAAAAUUUCUAUUUGGUUUCUCUUUAUAACUUCUCUAUCAGUAUUAUCUGACUGGUGAGAUACUGUUCUCAUCUCUUCCUCAUUUCUUUAUACAUGAUUACCUUUAGUUCUUUGAACAUACUUGUGGUCACUGACUUGAAGUCUUUGUCUAAUGAGUCCAAUGUUGGGGCUUCCUCAGGGAUAAUUUUUAUUGAGUGCCUCUUUUUCCCUGUGUAUAGAACAUUUUCCUGUUUCUUUGUAUGUCUCAUAAGCUUUUUUGCAAACUGGAAAUUAAAAAUAAUAUAAUGCAGAAACCCUGGAAAUCAGGUCUCUGCCAGCCAUUGUUUGUUGUAAUUAUUGUCUCUAUUUGUUUCAUGUAACUUUACUGAUCCUAUUCUGUGAAGUCCAUGUUUUCUGUUAUGUGUGGUUAGCUGAGUGGUCAGCUAAUGGCUGGGGAGAUAUUUUUUAAAUGCCUUCAUUCACUAAGUCCUCCAGCCUUUGCUGAGGGGAUUCCUGUGUAUGGUGGGGCACACCUUCAAUUUGUCAGCUGUUUACAGUUCUUCCUUGGCCUUUAUUCCAUUUAUUCAAAGCCUAGACGUCAGCCAUAGGUGGGAGAUUAUGGCCUUUUUGGGUCUUUCCUGAGAAAGUGCAUACUUCUGCACUUGUUCAUGCCUUUUAUAUCCCCAGGAAGAUGUACGAGCUUUUGAAGCCCUGAUGGACAUAUCAUUCCCCACCUGUUAAUUUAAAAUUUUUAAAUUAACAUCCUGUUUGCCCCAACUGUAAUUGCUGCUUUAGGCAGUGAAAUGUUAAACAGUUACUGUGAUUGUUUGUGACAGGUGUCCCAGGAAAAAAGGUCCUCUGCCCUGACUGAGUUCUGAAUGAUGUCCCCCUAAGACCAGAACUGCAAAUAGGAGUCUCCAAUGAGCUACCAGGUCAAAUCCUGACAAUUUUCUGGGAAUGAGGCUCUUUGUGGAGCUCCAAACAGGUUUUUCCCCUUCAGUGCUUCUAGGCUACUGGUUUUUACAGCUGACAUAAUCACAAAACUGUUGAUUUUCAAGACUUCCUCAGAGCUGAGAAGAGGUAAAUGGGAAUACAGGGCAAGUUAAAUGAUACAAAUGUCACUAUUCUUACUGAGGUUCAGGUGUUUUGCUCUGAAUAAAUAGUCCUCAGGUUGUUGCAAAACUUUAUUUUAUUUCCCUAUUUCUACAAAUGUUGAUUUGACCAUUUUUGUCAGUGUUCUUACUUUUAUGGAGGAGUAGAAUUUCAGAGGUAUUUAUUGCACCAUUCCAGAAGCACUUCUCUUCCCCUUACCAUUUAUAGAAUAUAGAGACUACAGUCAGAAGUUUAAGUGUUUUUAUCUUACCAUAUACAUUGUUGUAAGGUAAUCUUUGUUGGGUAUCCCACCCCUUGCCAGAGCCUCCUUCCUCAGAGAUAUCUCUAAGUACUUUAAAAUGUUAAAGGUAAACAUCAUUUUUGACUUGUUUUCUGUCAUUAAAUGACAAGUCACGAUUGUUACCUAAUAUAAAGUAGAAUUUCAACCAAACAGAACACAAAGACUUAAAAUUUUUAAUCAAAUAUAUACUGUGAGGGUGGAGGGUUGUCCCAUUACAAAAGAAAUACUCUAUUCUCUAGGAUUUUUUGUCCUAAGAGCAAUUUUUGACACCCUUAAUCACUGUAGAUCUCAUACUCUCCUACCUCUUUUGUUCCCCCAUCUGUAGAUCCAGAGAUUCAUUACUGAUAUUCACCAAUGUUCAGCAAUGAUGACCAGGGACCUGCACUGAUAUCUCAGUCCUAUGACUAGCUUUCACCUUGCUAAGACACAAAGUAGAUAAUGCAAUAGAUUAACCUAUUAACUAAUUAAUCUAUUAAUUAAUUGAUGCACUAGGAUGGAAACAAAACAAUAACCAGAAAGAUAAACUAUAUACAGGAUUAUAACUACAGGUUAAGGUACAAACUUAGGUUCAGAAAGCCAUAGGAUUAAAUCUGGUUGCACCACUCACCAGCUCUGUUAUUUGAGGAAGUCGCUUUACCAGUCAAAGCCUCUGCUUCCUCUCUGUACAUGGACACAAUGUCUACUUUAUCAGGAUAUUUGGCAGAUCAAAUGAGCUAAUAAAUACAUAGCACUUAUGUAAACCAUGGUUUAUAAUAAUCACAGUAAGUGAUAAUAUUAGGUAGUAACCAGAAUACUCCCAUUCCUGAGCAAACUAACCAUAGCUAUAUGAAUACAUUACAGUUUUGAAAAACAAGGUAUGUUUCAAAAGUGAGACCACUGCCUAUAGGUAGUUUUCCAUCUCUCACCAGAGACAUUUCCCAGGCUGAUUUACAUUCAUUAAUCUCCCUCAUGUGAGAUUAAAGAUGGCAGCACAGAGGAGAGACAGAAGCUUCCUCCUAAAACUGGAUACAAUUAGAAAAUAUAGUUGGCGCAACUAAUUCUGAGAGAGCAACAGGAAAGAGGAUGGCACCAGACUGCACACACCUGGAGAAAAGAGCAGAUCUCACUGAACGGGGUAAAGUACCAGAGCUGUGGCUCUGCGGGACCGAGCCCCUCUCCUACCCCAGGUCACCGGCAGGAGGAAGAGAAAUGGAGCAGGGAGGGAGUGGAAGGCUUGGGACUGCUGAAUACCUAGCUCUGGAGAUCUGCUCUGGGAGCACAAACCUACAUUUCAUGGUGCUUUCAUAAGACUCGCAUGACUACCGGGUUGGAAAGUUAAUACAGGCAGAAUUCCUGGGGAGACUGGGAUUCCAGCUGCUUGUGGAAAGCAGGGAUCCUAUCUGGCUGCUCUGGGACAAAAACUUAUACCUGUGUGACUGGCCCACUGGCUCAGGCCGUGGAGACAGGCACAGGAGCCAGGAGCCGGGGAACAGCUCUUUCCUCCCCCCAGGCACCAGUACAGCUCCCCAGUGACCCCAGACAUUGCUUCAGGGGCUGAGCAGCUCCAGAAUAGAGCUUCUGGACACCAGAGGGCACCAUAUACAAAUAUGAAACACCAAAGAAACCUGGUCAAGAGUAAAAUUAUUAAUACAAUUCCUGAGAAAGAUUUAAAUAAUAUGGACCUCAUGACUCUUCCUGAAAGGGAGUUCAAAAUAAAAAUCAUCAACAUUCUAAUGGAGGUACGAAAAAAAACAUCCAAGAACUCAGGAAUGAAUCCAGGUCAGAGAUCCAAUCGUUGAAGAGCACGAUGGAGGGUAUUAAAAGAAGGUUGGAUAUGGUGGAGGAGACAAUAAAUGAAAUAGAAACUAGAGAAGAGGAAUACAAAGAAGCUGAGGCACAGAGAGAAAAAAGGAUCUCUAAGAAUG
This is a long non-coding RNA of Manis pentadactyla (Chinese pangolin), 9308 nucleotides long. RefSeq lists it as uncharacterized. The transcript is spliced from 3 exons. NCBI's taxonomy places the organism in Eukaryota, Metazoa, Chordata, Mammalia, Pholidota, Manidae. The record is from RefSeq and is a predicted model, not a curated record.